This 502-nucleotide ribosomal RNA is filed under the name uncultured bacterium. RNAcentral describes it as "partial 16S ribosomal RNA". It matches the Rfam family "Bacterial small subunit ribosomal RNA", at positions 28 to 507 of the family's 1533-position model. The record is from RNAcentral.
GACGAACGCUGGCGGCGUGCCUAACACAUGCAAGUCGAACGGUGAAGGGGCCUGCUUUUGUGGGCCCUGGAUGAGUGGCGAACGGGUGAGUAACACGUGAGUAACCUGCCCCCUUCUUCUGGAUAACCGCAUGAAAGUGUGGCUAAUACGGGAUAUUCUGGGUCUGUCGCAUGAUGGGUCUGGGAAAGAUUGCGCCUUUGGGUGUUUUUGGUGGGGGAUGGGCUCGCGGCCUAUCAGCUUGUUGGUGGGGUGAUGGCCUACCAAGGCGGUGACGGGUAGCCGGCCUGAGAGGGUGGACGGUCACACUGGGACUGAGACACGGCCCAGACUGCUACGGGAGGCAGCAGUGGGGAAUAUUGCACAAUGGGCGCAAGCCUGAUGCAGCGACGCCGCGUGAGGGAUGGAGGCCUUCGGGUUGUAAACCUCUUUCGCCAGUGAAGCAGGCCUGCUCCUUGUGGGUGGGUUGACGGUAGCUGGAUAAGAAGCGCCGGCUAACUACGUG